UGCCAGCACUUGGGAGGCAGAGGCAGGGUGAAUCUUUGAGUUCAAGGCCAGCCAGGGCUACACAGAGAAACCAUAGAACAAAAUAAACAAAACGAAAACCUAAUCUUUCUAGAAAAACGAACAUAAUUUUAGAUACUUUAAGUGUCAAAAGUCAAAAGCAAUUAGUGAAAAAAACCGAACGAUUCAUAUAUUUUUAUAAGCACUACUUCAUGAGUUUGAAAGUUUUUCUAUUUUAGUCAUUUAUUCUUAAGAGUUGUUUCAUUGAUUGUUUUAAUUUUAAAAUAACACAUGCAUACUUCAAAUAUUUGUAUGUGUGUGUAUGUACCUCUGUGUGUGUGCAUCACAUGCAUGCAGGAACUGUUGGAGGUCAGAAGGGACAUUGGGUCCCCUAGAACUAGAGUCACAAAUGAUACAGAUGAUUGUUAGCCACUGUGUGAGUGUUGAGAACUGACCUGGGUCCUGGGUACGAACAGUAACUGCUCUUCACUGCUGAGUCAUUUCUUUAGCCACCCUGUUUGUCUAUCUGUCUGUCUUGUCUGUCUUAGUGUGGCAAUGUCUGUCAGAGUAGGCCUGAAUAAAAGUAAUUUUAACUGUGUAAUAGGCAAGCCAGAAAUGAGAUGAUUUUAGGAAUAAGAAGGUUAUGUUGCUGUCUAAACUACAUGAAUAUAAAACAGUUUAUGACCCCAACUAUAAUAUAUUGAUUUAUUUGGAAUUGUCUCUGGAGCACUGUGAUAGUUUGAAUAAGAAAUGCCCCUCUUUGGCUAGGAAUUGAAACGCUGAGUCCUCAGCUGGCGGUACUGUUUGGGAUAGUGGUACAGCCUUCCUGGAGGAAGUGUGUCCCUGGGGUGGGCUUUGGGAAUUUAUAGCUCUUUUCAUUUGCAGUUCCCUCUCUCUACUUCAUGCUUGUGGUUGGAGAUGUGAUUUCUUUGCUUCCUGCUCUGGUUACUAUGCCUGCAACUUACUGUCACGCCAUUCCUGUGUCAUGACGGAUGGGCUCUUAGCCCUCUGAAACCCUAAGCCGGAAUAAAUUUGGGUUUUUUUUUCCCUUUAAGUUGCUGUUGGUCAUAGUGGUUUUUUUUUUGGUUUUGUUUUUGUUUCGAGACAGGGUUUCUCUGUAUAGCCCUGGCUGUCCUGGAACUCACUUUGUAGAUCAGGCUGGCCUCGAACUCAGAAAUCCACCUGCCUCUGCCUCCCGAGGUCAUGGUGUUUUUUAAUUUCUUAUUUUUAAAAUUUAUUUUAUAUGUAUGGGUAUUUUGCUUGCAUUCUCAGAUAUGCGCACCACAUGCAUUCCUGGUGUGGGAUGGAUCCCCCUGAACUGGGGUUGCAGACAGUUGUGAGCUAUCAUGUGGGUGCUGGGAAUUGAACCUGGGUCUUCUAGAGGAGCAGCCAGUGCUUUUAACGGAUGAGCCAUCUAUCCAACCCCCAGUCAUGGCAUUUUAUCAGAGCAACAGAAAAGUAACUAAUACACUCACCAAGUAAAUUUAGGAACAAAAGUGUUACUACUUGUCCAGUAGCAUUUAUUUUAUAUUGUUGAGGAAGUAACAUCUUGCUAUUUUGUUUGCCUGAGGUAACUUCCAACUGCUGGGUUCAAGCAUCCUUCUGCAUCUGCUUCCUGAGUAGCUGGGUCUGUCGGUGCAUGCCACGAUGACUGGCAAGAGAGUAGUCUUAAAGCACUCUCAACAUCAGUAAAAUCCUUGCUCAGACCCACAGCAUUUGUAUAGGUAUAAAUUACAGUCAUCUAUCUGCUGGCAACAAGCUGUUUGCAUUUAAGAUCUACAGAAAUAGCAACAAAAGAAUGAGGCAAGUCAACACAAUUAGAAAUUACAAUAUUUUUUGGAUACCCUUGGAGAUACCUCCCACCCUCUACUUUGGAGACAUCUGGUUGCGAAUGACAGUAAUCCAGAAGAAGGAAGCACACGGCGCUUUUUGAGAGAGGGUUUGCUAGGUUCGGGAGUGGUGUGUGGAUGAGAAGUUGACAGAGAGCUGCACUGUCAAGCAGAUUGAGAGUAGGCUGGGUGGGGGGUAAAGCAGAAAGCUGGGGUAUAGCUCCCCACCAUCUGUGCAAGAGUGUUGCUAAGGUACCACGAACCAAACUCCUAAGGAUCGAAGCUGUCAGAAUGGUCAGAUUGCUUUCUCAUAGCUGGGAAUGCUGGACACGGGACCGCAGAGUAUAGUUCAUAUACAAGGCGUUGCAGAAUGGUCUUUAGUUUGGGAGAUCUUUCAGCUCUUUGAUAAGAAUAGGUUUGAAAGGAGUGAUAGAGAGGCCCAAGUUAACCAUCAGGAAGUGGACCUCAGGUGAAAGUACUAGGCUCAGGCUUGGUGAAUUUUGAGUGGACGGAGGCUGACGACGGGGGAGUCAGGAACCUGGCUGAAGGGUAUACUUAAUCUCUUAUGGGAUAUUUGCUGGUCCAUUGGGACUAGAGGUCUACAGUCUUCUAUAACAAACAUUUUUUGAGAUUGUGUGUUUUAGUUACUUUUGUGAAAAAAAUAUUAUGACCUAGACAAGUUAUAUAUAGAAGGAAGGUUUGAGCAUACGGUUCCAGAAGGUUAGAGUCCGCCAUGACAGGGCAAAGGCAUGUUGGCAGAAGUGGAAAGCUUAGACUGGAACGGCAGGCGUAGUGAUUUAAAACCACAAGCCUGCCCCCUUUCUCCAGUAAGGCCACACCUCCUAAGUAUAUCCAAACAGUGCUACUGACUGGGGACCAAGUAGUCAAACCUUUUAGCCUCUGGGGAAUAUUCUCAUUCAGAUCAAGCCACCAUACCGAAAAUUACUUGUGUCUGGAAUUCAGAAGAUGGCGUGACCAGAGACACUAAAAGGGAAACUGUCACCUCCUGUGAGUAACCCUAUCAGCCUGCAGUACCAGAAACAACCUCAGACCAAUCGUGGUCAGUGUGUGGCUUGGUGGAUGUCUCCUUAGCUGAUUACCGGAAGUUUGCUUUUGGGGACUGGGUGUGACUUGAAAUAAGUUGGUGAUUUCAGGCAGGUUUGGAAUUCAGAGUAUUGUUAUUAAAAGGAAUAAAAGCAGGCAGAGGUGGUAAAUGACAGAUGGUCCAAAGCCCCGCUCUCAUUUGAAAGGAUUUAGAGCAGUAUACUUGGAUCUGAAAAGAAAGAGGGCUUUUGACAGCAUUUCAGUAGCUGUGGGGUUUUAGAGACAGUCCACAAAUAAGGUAUAUAAGCAUUAUUUCAGUCAGUCCGUCUGGCAGAAGUGUUUCACAGACGAUG
Molecule: long non-coding RNA, 3223 nt
Filed under: Mus musculus (house mouse)
Lineage: Eukaryota; Metazoa; Chordata; Mammalia; Rodentia; Muridae
Description: long non-coding RNA chr2:59650024-59653247
Source: RNAcentral